UGCCAGUGAGGAGCAAGUAUCCUGUCUAGUCCCCAGAGCAAAUAAUGGUGAACCCACUGGGAUUACAGAGAAAGAUGAAAAUGUUCCAUCAAAGCUGUCUAGCAU
This 105-nucleotide small nucleolar RNA is filed under the name Fukomys damarensis (Damara mole-rat). RNAcentral describes it as "Small nucleolar RNA SNORD22 (ENSFDAG00000005391.1)". The record is from RNAcentral. Lineage: Eukaryota; Metazoa; Chordata; Mammalia; Rodentia; Bathyergidae.